RNAcentral lists this ribosomal RNA (464 nucleotides) under Vreelandella stevensii. RNAcentral's name for it is "partial 16S ribosomal RNA". It matches the Rfam family "Bacterial small subunit ribosomal RNA", at positions 338 to 795 of the family's 1533-position model. The record is from RNAcentral. Lineage: Bacteria; Pseudomonadati; Pseudomonadota; Gammaproteobacteria; Oceanospirillales; Halomonadaceae.
CCUACGGGGGGCAGCAGUGGGGAAUAUUGGACAAUGGGCGAAAGCCUGAUCCAGCCAUGCCGCGUGUGUGAAGAAGGCCUUCGGGUUGUAAAGCACUUUCAGUGGGGAAGAAAGCCUUGGGGCUAAUACCCUCGAGGAAGGACAUCACCCACAGAAGAAGCACAGGCUAACUCCGUGCCAGCAGCCGCGGUAAUAGGAGGGUGCGAGCGGUAAUCGGAAUUACUGGGCGUAAAGCGCGCGUAGGCGGUCUGAUAAGCCGGUUGGGAAAGCCCCGGGCUCAACCUGGGAACGGCAUCCGGAAAUGGCAGGCUAGAGUGCAGGAGAGGAAGGUAGAAUUCCCGGGGGAGCGGUGAAAUGCGGAGAGAUCGGGAGGAAUACCAGUUGCGAAGGCGGCCUUCUGGACUGACACUGACGCUGAGGUGCGAAAGCGGGGGUAGCAAACAGGAUUAGAUACCCUUGUAGUC